This 67-nucleotide ribosomal RNA is filed under the name Frullania asagrayana. RNAcentral's name for it is "partial 26S ribosomal RNA". It matches the Rfam family "Eukaryotic large subunit ribosomal RNA", at positions 32 to 98 of the family's 3401-position model. Lineage: Eukaryota; Viridiplantae; Streptophyta; Jungermanniopsida; Porellales; Frullaniaceae. The record is from RNAcentral.
GUUUAAGCAUAUCACUAAGCGGAGGAAAAGAAACUAACGAGGAUUUCCUUAGUAACGGCGAGCGAAC